This 500-nucleotide ribosomal RNA is filed under the name uncultured bacterium. RNAcentral's name for it is "partial 16S ribosomal RNA". It matches the Rfam family "Bacterial small subunit ribosomal RNA", at positions 29 to 523 of the family's 1533-position model. The record is from RNAcentral.
AUUGAACGCUGGCGGCAUGCCUUACACAUGCAAGUCGAACGGCAGCACGGGAGCAAUCCUGGUGGCGAGUGGCGAACGGGUGAGCAAUAUAUCGGAACGUGCCCAGUCGUGGGGGAUAACGCAGCGAAAGCUGUGCUAAUACCGCAUACGAUCUAAGGAUGAAAGCGGGGGAUCGCAAGACCUCGCGCGAUUGGAGCGGCCGAUAUCAGAUUAGCUAGUUGGUGGGGGAAAGGCCCACCAAGGCGACGAUCUGUAGCUGGUCUGAGGGGACGGACAGCCAAACUGGAACUGAGACACGGUCCAGACUCCUACGGAAGGCAGCAGUGGGGAAUUUUGGAGGAUGGGGUCAAGCCUGAUCCAGCAAUGCCGCGUGCAGGAUGAAGGCCUUCGGGUUGUAAACUGCUUUUGUACGGAACGAAACGGCCCUUUCUAAUACAGGGGGCUAAUGACGGUACCGUAAGAAUAAGCACCGGCUAACUACGUGCCAGCAGCCGCCGUAA